UUGUCCAAGUGAGCAUGUACCUAGCUCAG
Molecule: non-coding RNA, 29 nt
Filed under: Mus musculus (house mouse)
Lineage: Eukaryota; Metazoa; Chordata; Mammalia; Rodentia; Muridae
Source: RNAcentral